This 741-nucleotide ribosomal RNA is filed under the name uncultured bacterium. Its description in RNAcentral is "bacterial SSU rRNA". It matches the Rfam family "Bacterial small subunit ribosomal RNA", at positions 8 to 796 of the family's 1533-position model. The record is from RNAcentral.
AGAGUUUGAUCAUGGCUCAGAACGAACGCUGGCGGCAGGCUUAACACAUGCAAGUCGAACGCUGUAGCAAUACAGAGUGGCAGACGGGUGAGUAACACGUGGGAACAUGCCCUUCGGUUCGGAAUAACUCAGGGAAACUUGAGCUAAUACCGGAUACGUCCGCGAGGGAAAGAUUCAUCGCCGAAGGAUCGGCCCGCGUCUGAUUAGCUAGUUGGUGAGGUAACGGCUCACCAAGGCGACGAUCAGUAGCUGGUCUGAGAGGAUGAUCAGCCACAUUGGGACUGAGACACGGCCCAAACUCCUACGGGAGGCAGCAGUGGGGAAUAUUGGACAAUGGGCGAAAGCCUGAUCCAGCCAUGCCGCGUGAGUGAUGAAGGCCUUAGGGUUGUAAAGCUCUUUUACCUGGGAAGAUAAUGACGGUACCAGGAGAAUAAGCCCCGGCUAACUUCGUGCCAGCAGCCGCGGUAAUACGAAGGGGGCUAGCGUUGUUCGGAUUUACUGGGCGUAAAGCGCACGUAGGCGGAUUCUUAAGUCAGGGGUGAAAUCCCGAGGCUCAACCUCGGAACUGCCUUUGAUACUGGGGAUCUUGAGUUCGGGAGAGGUGAGUGGAACUGCGAGUGUAGAGGUGAAAUUCGUAGAUAUUCGCAAGAACACCAGUGGCGAAGGCGGCUCACUGGCCCGAUACUGACGCUGAGGUGCGAAAGCGUGGGGAGCAAACAGGAUUAGAUACCCCCGUAGUCC